RNAcentral lists this unclassified non-coding RNA (292 nucleotides) under uncultured fungus. RNAcentral's name for it is "partial contains small subunit ribosomal RNA, internal transcribed spacer 1, and 5.8S ribosomal RNA". The stretch from base 1 to 73 matches the Rfam family "Eukaryotic small subunit ribosomal RNA", at positions 1759 to 1831 of the family's 1831-position model. Lineage: Eukaryota; Fungi. The record is from RNAcentral.
UCAAACUUGGUCAUUUAGAGGAAGUAAAAGUCGUAACAAGGUUUCCGUAGGUGAACCUGCGGAAGGAUCAUUACCGAGUAUCGGGGCCCAGAGCCCCUACUCCCACCCUGUGUUGACUUGAAAACGUUGCUUUGGCGGACCGGUGGCCCCACCGCCGGUCGCUGACUGGAGAGCGUCCGCCAGAGGCUCGAUUUUAAACCCUUUCAAACGGUGAAGUCUGAGGCCCUUUAGAAAAUGAAUCAAAACUUUCAACAACGGAUCUCUUGGUUCUGGCAUCGAUGAAGAACGCAGC